This is a non-coding RNA of Nerophis lumbriciformis (worm pipefish), 73 nucleotides long. NCBI's taxonomy places the organism in Eukaryota, Metazoa, Chordata, Actinopteri, Syngnathiformes, Syngnathidae. The record is from the annotation of a RefSeq genome assembly.
GCCCAGGUAGCUCAGUUGGUAGAGCACUCGACUGAAAAUCGAGGUGUCGGUGGUUCAAAUCCGCCCCUGGGCA